UCCGGUUUGUCACCGGCAGCCCCAUUAGAGUGCUCAACUGAAUGUAGCAACUAAUGGCAAGGGUUGCGCUCGUUGCGGGACUUAACCCAACAUCUCACGACACGAGCUGACGACAGCCAUGCAGCACCGUCUCACUGGUUCCCCGAAGGGCACCCCUGCAUCUCUGCAAGGUUCCAGUGGAUUUAACCCAGGUAAGGUUCUGCGCGUUGCGUCGAAUUGAACCACAUGCUCCACCGCUUGUGCGGGCCCCCGUCAAUUCCUUUGAGUUUCGGUCUUGCGACCGUACUCCCCAGGCGGAGUGCUUAAUGUGUUGACUUCGGCACAGCAGGGGUCGAUACCCGCUACACCAAGCACUCAUCGUUUACGGCGUGGACUAC
Molecule: unclassified non-coding RNA, 377 nt
Filed under: uncultured bacterium
Lineage: Bacteria
Description: contains 16S-23S intergenic spacer region
Source: RNAcentral